This is a long non-coding RNA of Zingiber officinale, 1037 nucleotides long. RefSeq lists it as uncharacterized. NCBI's taxonomy places the organism in Eukaryota, Viridiplantae, Streptophyta, Magnoliopsida, Zingiberales, Zingiberaceae. The record is from RefSeq and is a predicted model, not a curated record. The transcript is spliced from 2 exons.
CCUAACCUUAAUGGGCGAAAACCUUUCCCUUCUUCAUGCGACGCCGCCGACCCUCCUCCCUCCCUCUCGCACUCGCACGCGCAGGCGACGCUGUGCGUCGUGCCAUCGCCAACUCCUCGUCGGCCAACAACAGCCUCCACCGCCGGCCUCUCUUCUCUCUCGGAGCCAUGCCGAUCUCCCUCUUGCGAGACCUCACAGACCACAACCGUCGAUCCUCUUCCCUCCAUGUUGUGCCCCAACGGAUCCGGCAAGUAUUCUUUCUCCUAGUAGCUUGGUUUUGGGACAGAUUUGGAUGUGUGAACCAAACUUGAUGUAGUUCUCUUUCGGCAACAUAGUUUGAAAUUCUGGGCAGAUUUAUAGAUCGGAAAUUUGUCUUCGAUGUUGACUGGUUGUGGCAAACUGGUUUUGAAUUCUAGAUUAAUUUGGAAGACUAUGAAUUGAGUUUGAUGUUGGUUCUCUUGUGGCCUGUUGGAUUGAGAUUUCACAGUAGACUUAAAGGUUGAGAAUUGAUUUCGAAGUCAUCUUGUUUUCUUCAAGAUAGUAGUAACUUUGUAACAGAUUUGGUAGGAUGUGUAUCAUUUUCAAUAUUGUGAACACUCCUUCGUAUUGGUUUGAAAUUCUAGUACGGACUUGGAAGUAAGGGAAUUGGUGUAGAUUUAAUAGUUGUUUUUUUUGUUUUCUCUAGCUAUGCAUGAUUAGAUUGAAACAUCAUAAAAAUGUAGUUAGGUAACCAUCUGAUGAUGUCUCAUUUUCCGUAAAGGUUCAAUUAAUUAUUGUGCAUGUAUGUUGGCAAGUAUUACUUCUUCUUGUAGGUAAGGAUUUGGGAGUCGUUUAAGGGGUUGGGAAGCCUCUUUCGGUGGUGACCAAAGGAAGGGAUGGAAGGUUGGGAUUUGAUGGAGAUGAGGGUUAUUCUUCUUCUUGGUGAUUUUCGGCCGCCUAGAACAGAUUUAGGAUGUCAUUUCGGGAUGAGCACUCCGACGCGGGGAUUGUUUAGCUCGAGCUAUAUACUAAAGGCGGGUACUUCUUACUUUGUUUUC